Molecule: ribosomal RNA, 252 nt
Filed under: uncultured bacterium
Lineage: Bacteria
Description: partial 16S ribosomal RNA
Rfam family: Bacterial small subunit ribosomal RNA
Source: RNAcentral
UACGUAGGGUGCAAGCGUUAAUCGGAAUACUGGGCGUAAAGCGUGCGCAGGCGGCUUUGCAAGACAGAUGUGAAAUCCCCGGGCUCAACCUGGGAACUGCAUUUGUGACUGCAUCGCUGGAGUGCGGCAGAGGGGGAUGGAAUUCCGCGUGUAGCAGUGAAAUGCGUAGAUAUGCGGAGGAACACCGAUGGCGAAGGCAAUCCCCUGGGCCUGCACUGACGCUCAUGCACGAAAGCGUGGGGAGCAAACAGG